Molecule: transfer RNA, 76 nt
Filed under: Halorubrum kocurii JCM 14978
Lineage: Archaea; Methanobacteriati; Methanobacteriota; Halobacteria; Halobacteriales; Haloferacaceae
Description: tRNA-Met
Rfam family: tRNA
About the family: Transfer RNA (tRNA) molecules are approximately 80 nucleotides in length. Their secondary structure includes four short double-helical elements and three loops (D, anti-codon, and T loops).
Source: RNAcentral
GGGCCCUUAGCUUAGUCUGGCUUAAAGCGUUCCGCUCAUAACGGAAUGAUCGCUGGUUCAAAUCCUGCAGGGCCCA